This is a long non-coding RNA of Equus asinus (donkey), 2206 nucleotides long. The record is from Ensembl. Lineage: Eukaryota; Metazoa; Chordata; Mammalia; Perissodactyla; Equidae.
CCCAGACCAGGCAUGAACACCAAAGCUCACUAAUCACAGUGGCGGACAGACGGAGCAAGUCUCAGGAAGAACAAGAGGACCAGUGACCAGGCGGGACCAAAAAGGACGGUGGCAGCCCCUGCAACAGGAGAGAUCUGGGCAACAGCUGCAGCCAAAGCUGCAGCCUGGCCCACAGGGGAGCUGCACGGGGUGCAAGGGGGUGGCUCUGAGCUGGGGCCUCAUCCCAGCUGGCCUCCCCCACUGCCUAGCUGGGGACAGGUCCAGCCUGUGAUGUCCACAAUGCCCCAGGCCUCUGAGCACCACCUGGGCUGACUCGAGAGCCACCUGUUAAUGUCCAGCCCAGAGUGGGAUCCGAGCUACCAUUUGCCCCCCGGGCCCGCAGCAAGGAGCGCGGAAACCCGUUACAACCUCUGCCUUCCCUGUCUGGUCCCCCUGAGGAACGGCUCAAGAAACUGGAGCCAGGACGAGGACCAACCUCAGGUCCUCGUCCCAGAGGCCCUCUUUGGGCAUCUCAUGGAGUUCCCCUUCCUGGCUCACUGCCCCCAGCUGUGGCUCUGCCUGUCCCAUCCAGGACGAACCUGGCCCAUUCCAGGUCUGUGAGCAGUGGAGACUUGCAUCCAAUGAGGACUGCCUUGGGAGGGCACUGUGGCGCUGGAAAGCCAGGGGCUGCGCUGAGCCGCUUGGCACUCUAACCCGAGUCACCCACUUUGAGACAUAGCACCUCUCUCCGCCACCUCGGGGCCUUUCCUGGGCCCCCCACCUUGCUCAGCAUAUGGACAGAGCCCCCUGCUUCCCAUGGCUUCUUCCACGUGAUAUCUGCCCGGCCCUCUGAGCCUUUCUACUUUGAUGACAAGAUGGCUCACCACAUGCUGCUUCUGGGCUUUGGUCACAUUGGCCACCCAAAUCUGGGAAACACGUGCUUCCUGAAUGCUGUGCUGCAGUGUUUGAGCAGCACUGGGUCUCUUCGGGACUUCUCUCUGUGAAGGGACCUCCGGCAAGAGGUGCCUGGAGGGGGCCGAGCCCAAGAGCUCAAUGAAGCCUUUGCAGAUGUGAUUGGUGCUCCGUGGCACCCUGACUCCUGCGAAGCUGUGAAUGGUGCUGGAUGACGAGCUGUCUUCUGGAAACAUGUUCCCUCCUUCUCUGGAUACAGCCAGCAGGAUGCCCACAAGUUCCUGAAGCUCCUCAUGGAGUGGCUGCACCUUGAAAUCAACCAAUGAGGCCGCCGGGCUCCGUCAGUCUUGGCCAACAGUCCAGCUCCCUUCUCCACCCCACCAACGGGCUCUGCUAGAAGAAUCUGAGUUAAGUGAAGAUGACCGAGCCAACCUAACGUGGAAGUGUUACGUGGAGCAAGAGGACAGCAAGACUGUGGACCUGUUUGUGGGCCAGUUGAAAAGUUGUCUCUAGUGCCAGGCCUGUGGGUAUCGUUCCACGACCUUCGAGGUUUUUUGUGACCUGUCCCUGUCCCUCCCCAAGAACAGAUUCACUGGGGGCAAGGUGUCUCUGCAGGAUGGUUUCAGCCUUUUCACCAAGGAAGAACAGCUGGAGUUGGAGAAUGCCCCAGUGUGUGACCAAUGUCGCAGAAAACAUGAAGUACCAAAAAGUUGACAGUACAAAGAUGCCCCCGAAUCCUUGUGCUCCGUGUUAAUCAAUUUUAUGCCUCCGAGGAUCCAUCAAGAAAAGUUCAAUAGGUGUAGACUUCCCACUGCAGCGACGGAGCCUAGGGGACUUCGCCAGAGAUGAAGCCAGAAGCCCCACAGAUCAGACAGCCCCCUCCCUGGCAGGGCAGGGGGUCAGUGGACAUCACUCCAGGGCCCAGGGAGAGCCACCUUCUCAGCAGCAGCCCAGGCCAUCCUGGACACAGGACAUCUGGAGGACAGGUAACCCGACAGGAGCCCCUGCCAGCCCUGCCCUGUGAGGAACCACCAAGCUGCCUCCUAUAAGGACACCAGCAUGACUGCAUCUUAACUAACGACAUCUGCAGAGACCUCAAUUUCUGGAUAAGCUCGCAUUCUAAGCCUCUGAGUGGAUAUGCAGUCUGGGGGGCACUAUUUAACCAAGUACAGAAUCUGUGGGAACAAAUAAAAAAUGGAAUGAAUAGUGAAUUGCAGCUGGGAACAUCAUCUGCUAUGAUGCCUGAGUCAGAACAGCUCAGAGUGUCUUUUUUACACUGUACAAGAAACAGUACAAAUAAAAUAAAUGAUUUCUA